AUGGGCGAAAGCCUGACGGAGCAAUACCGCGUGAGGGAAGAAGGUCCUUGGAUCGUGGACCUCUUCGCUCAGGGAAGAAGUUCUGACGGUACCUGAGGAAUAAUGCCUCAGGCUAACUCCGUGCCAUGAGCCGCGGCAAUACGGAGGAGGCAAGCGUCAUCCGGAAUUAUUGGGCGUAAAGCGUUCGCAGGUGGCUGCUCAAUGUCUGCUGUCUAAAGACCGGAGCUUAACUCCGGAAAGGCGGUGGAAACUGAAGAGCUAGAGUGCGGUAGGGGUAGAGGGAACUCCCAGUGUAGCGGUGAAAUGCGUAGAGAUUGGCGAAGAACACCGGUGGCGAAAGCGCUCUACUAGUCCGCACCUGACACUCAGGGACGAAAGCUAGGGGAGCGAAUGGGAUUAGAUACCCCAGUAGUCCUAGCUGUAAACGAUGGGUACUAGGCGUAACUUGUAUCGACCCGAGCUGUGCCGAAGCUAACGCGUUAAGUACCCCGCCUGGGGAGUACGCACGCAAGUGUGAAACUCAAAGGAAUCGACGGGGGCCCGCACAACCGAUGGAGUAUGUGGUCUAAUUCGAUGCAACGCGAAGAACCUUACCAGGGCUUGACAUCCGGCGAAUUCUCUGGAUACAGAGAAGUGCCUACGGGAGCGCCGUGACAGCUGGUGCAUGACUGUCGUCAGCUCGCUCUCGUGAGAUGCAUGGGUUAAGUCCCGCAACGAGCGCAACCCUCGUCCUUAGUUGCCAGCAUUAAGUCGGGCACUUUAGGGAGACUGCCGGUGACACACCGGAGGAAG
Molecule: ribosomal RNA, 792 nt
Filed under: uncultured organism
Description: bacterial SSU rRNA
Rfam family: Bacterial small subunit ribosomal RNA
Source: RNAcentral